This 502-nucleotide ribosomal RNA is filed under the name uncultured bacterium. Its description in RNAcentral is "bacterial SSU rRNA". It matches the Rfam family "Bacterial small subunit ribosomal RNA", at positions 8 to 507 of the family's 1533-position model. The record is from RNAcentral.
AGAGUUUGAUCAGUGGCUCAGAAUGAACGCUGGCGGCGUGCCUAACACAUGCAAGUCGAGCGAGAAAGUCUCUUCGGAGAUAAGUACAGCGGCGGACGGGUGAGUAACGCGUGAGAAUUUACCCUUUAGUGAAGAAUACCUCUGAGAAAUCAGGGUUAAUACUGCAUACGUCCCUACGGGGAGAAAGGUGGCCUCUUUGCUGCCGCUAAAGGAUAAGCUUGCGUACUAUUAGCUAGUUGGUGAGGUAAAGGCUCACCAAGGCGAUGAUGGUUAGCCGGCCUGAGAGGGUGUACGGCCACACUGGAACUUAGACACGGUCCAGACUCCUACGGGAGGCAGCAGUGAGGAAUAUUGCGCAAUGGGCGAAAGCCUGACGCAGCGACGCCGCGUGGAGGAUGAAGGUCUUCGGAUUGUAAACUCCUGUUAAGUGGGAAGAAAGACCUAUUUCUAAUACAGAUAGGGGAUGACGGUACCAUUAGAGAAAGCACCGGCUAACUUCGUG